CGACACACUCCCGGAAACAGCAGCUGAACCAGCACCAGCCAAAGCCGAUGAAUCAGGCAGCUCAGAUUGAUUAUCAUUCACAGAAGAAGAUGAAGAAUCAGCAUCCUUCUUCGAAGAAGAAAGUAUGAGCCGUCUCAUACUAGCAUCCAAGUCAGCCACCUCCCAUGACUCCGGUGGGGCUCCGAGAUCAUCAGCAACAGACACAGAGCCCUCCAUGGGUUCAAUUUUUUAGCCCAACAAAAAAAAAAUCAAAAAAAAUCAAAAAAAAAUCUAGGAUUUAGACAUGAAAGGAAUCAUCAAAUCCAGCUGUAAAUCAAGAUUAUAGAGAAGCUAGAUUCGAAGAUUUCGAAAAUUUUCAUAGCGAUUGAGAGAAUCUAAAAGAGGAGGAAAACGGUUCUAGG
This 401-nucleotide unclassified non-coding RNA is filed under the name Hevea brasiliensis (rubber tree). The record is from RNAcentral. Lineage: Eukaryota; Viridiplantae; Streptophyta; Magnoliopsida; Malpighiales; Euphorbiaceae.